AAAGCUGGAUUAAUACCGCAUACGCCCUACGGGGGAAAGCAGCAAUGCGCUAAUAGAUGAGCCCGCGUAAGAUUAGCUAGUUGGUAAGGUAAAGGCUUACCAAGGCGACGAUCUUUAGCUGGUCUGAGAGGAUGGCCAGCCACAUCGGGACUGAGACACGGCCCGGACUCCUACGGGAGGCAGCAGUCGGGAAUAUUGGACAAUGGGCGCAAGCCUGAUCCAGCAAUACCGCGUGUGUGAAGAAGGCCUGCGGGUUGUAAAGCACUUUCAGUUGGGAAGAUAAUGACGUUACCAACAGAAGAAGCACCGGCUAACUCCGUGCCAGCAGCCGCGGUAAUACGGAGGGUGCAAGCGUUAAUCGGAAUUACUGGGCGUAAAGCGUGCGUAGGCGGCCUGUUAAGUCAGAUGUGAAAGCCCCGGGCUUAACCUGGGAACUGCAUCUGAUACUGGGAGGCUAGAAUGUGGGAGAGGAGAGUGGAAUUUCCGGUGUAGCGGUGA
RNAcentral lists this ribosomal RNA (498 nucleotides) under uncultured bacterium. Its description in RNAcentral is "bacterial SSU rRNA". It matches the Rfam family "Bacterial small subunit ribosomal RNA", at positions 154 to 684 of the family's 1533-position model. The record is from RNAcentral.